RNAcentral lists this long non-coding RNA (425 nucleotides) under Lathyrus oleraceus (garden pea). RNAcentral describes it as "Pisum sativum (pea) long non-coding RNA (PSAT_LNC031428)". Lineage: Eukaryota; Viridiplantae; Streptophyta; Magnoliopsida; Fabales; Fabaceae. The record is from RNAcentral.
ACCAGCAACAGAGCCCUUAUAGAUUCCGAGGGACCAACCUGCAAUUUAGAUAAUAUUUCGAGACCAUGUUCAUCUCAACCAUCUAAAUAAACAUAACUAAAUCGAAUGGAGAAUGCUGGCAGUUCACACUAAACCAUUCAUAUUUCCGAUUCACACAGUCUCAACCCAAAGAUCGUUGCUUACAAUCCACAGGGAUGUAUUUAUUGAAACCAUUGCAGUCAUACCAAUUUACUACAUAAGGUAGAACACAGAAUUUCGUAAGCAUGCAUCAUAGGUGAAACCAUUAGUCAUCCAAAUUUACUACAUAAGGUAGAACACAGAAUUGUGGCAUAUCUCAGCUGAACUUAGCUAGUAAUAAAUUACCUAGCUGGACAAGUACUGUGUCAUCCACGAUUGGAAGCGAGACCACGCCAGCUGAACUGAAG